UACGAAGGAUGCAAGCGUUAUCCGGAUUCACUGGGCUUAAAGGGUGUGCAGGUGGGGUAAUAAGUCAGUGGUGAAAGCCCCCGACUCAAUCGGGGAACUGCCAUAGAUACUGUUAUUCUUGAGUGUGGUUGAGGUGGAUGGAAUAUGACAUGUAGCGGUGAAAUGCUUAGAUAUGUCAUAGAACACCGAUCGCGAAGGCAGUCCGCCAAACCAUUACUGACACUGAAACACGAAAGUGCGGGGAGCAAACAGG
This 253-nucleotide ribosomal RNA is filed under the name uncultured bacterium. RNAcentral's name for it is "partial 16S ribosomal RNA". It matches the Rfam family "Bacterial small subunit ribosomal RNA", at positions 524 to 776 of the family's 1533-position model. The record is from RNAcentral.